UGAGUUUAUUGGUACAUUUUAGGUAUACAGUGCAGUUACAUUCAUCAUUGGGAUUUAGUAGACCUCAUGUCCUCUUCUUUUCAAACCCAGAAAAACAGAACGAGGCCCCUUCAACUUCUCUUUAGUGAAACUCACAGGUAACAUUUUAAUACCUCAGCUCAGUUAUAUGUGAGCAGAGCAUCAAGCAAUAAUAAAAUUUUCAAAGUUGGAUUAAAGCACCUUUGCAAUCUUUUAAAAAUAGAAACGGUGUCAAAACUCUGAAAGAAACACCAGUCGUGGGUUUAGAAAGGGUGCUGGCCGGCACACACACUCUGUCUCACGGGGCCUCCACAGGUGUAGGCAGGUUUGGAUGUGUGUGGCUGUUCUCGUGCCAGUGUUUGACUCUUUCACCCAGAGCACAGUGGUUAGUCCACAGUGAGGAUUCAACAGUCAUUCGACACACGUUUUUGGAGUGUCUGCUGUUAAGGGCAUUGAUCAGAGGUUCUAUGGCUGUGAUAGACACGGUGAUGGGUUUCAUGAAAUUUUCAACACGUGGAGAGAGACGAGAGCAGCAAAAAAAAAAGCGUGCAAAGAAACAAAUAUAAAUGUAUACAAUAAUUGGAGGGCUGAUAAGUACUGUGGAGGAAAUAACUUGGGAGUGGAAAGAGAAAAACCACCUCUCUCAGACAAGGUGGAUGGGACGGCCGCUAAGAUCUGAGCCAGAAGGGUGUGGAACGAGGAGAAGAGGGUUUAAAAUGGCAGAACUGUGUGUGCAAAGGGAGUAGUGUGCUUUAGGGCUCAGCCGAGACCACUGAGGUUGCAGCCAAACGCUCAAAGCAGAGGAGGCCACGGAGGCUGGGAGACUAGGAAGUCAGACCAGGGCCUCCUGGGCCGCCAGCUUCCGUCCCGCGCUCUGUGGGAGGCCCCGUGGGAGUCUGAGCCGAAGUGUUGCGCAGUCCACACUGGCGAGCGUCUCUCGCGGGCAGCCUCCAGCCGAGCAGCGGGAGAAGCAGAGCUGAUAAAAGCCGGUGGCAUCAUCCAGGUCAAAGGCGGCAGCCCAGGACCAGGGCGGUGGUGCGGAGGAGAACCUGGAAGGGACACGACCCGCUGGUGGUCUGCAGCUGGCCAGAGAGAACUGGAGCAUAAUGGCAGGUGUCACUCCUAUUUCUCUGUUUUGCUGUUGGCUACUGUGACCUGAGGUUCACCACAGAGACUGAAAAAUAGACUUACGGGAUGGCCAGGAAGAAAAACCUGGUUUUCCGAAGGACUGAGCAGAAGAGAAGCACCCAGCAGCCCUGGCCCUCGUGUCCAGUUAUUACCCGAGGAUGAGGUGCAGUUGAGUCGACCUUUGUUACAGCAGCGUAAACUCCGCCAGGCCCUUCUGGAACCCAAGUGGCAGGUUCAGACCAGGAGCUCAUGCUUGUCAAGCCGUCAACUGAGAAGCUACAUAAAUGAUUAUCUCUCCUGCUGAAACUUUUCACAGAACUACCUGCAAGGUGGGACUAAAGCUUCUACUUGUUUUCUUCUACAUCUAGAGUGGCGUUGCACAAGAGGGAGGGGCCCAGGGCUGAAGAAGAAGCAAUGGAAAAGAAGUAUCGGGCAUGACUGUGUUAGCAUUCUGUAAAGAGUUAUAAAAUUUGAUCCUAUGUAAAAAAGCCAUUCAAUCUGAAAUUCACGUGUGAGGUACGUUCAGUCAGUUACUGAUCAAAUCAAAACAAUCAAGGUGUCUGUAUUUUCACUUGCUAGGGACCCGAUCCAUUUCAAAUCCUACUAGGUGGCUUAUUUUCAUUUUUAAUUUUGUAAUGCACCUCACUGUGGGCCAGGCACUGGGACGAGGGUGUGAAGUGCCCCUAAAAUGCACCACAACCCUUCAAGGAAACACUACUGCCCCAUUGACAGCGGGCAAGUUUUUCCUGAUGUUCCCUGACUAGCAGGUGCACCCGCUGUGAGUCCAGCUGUUUACGCUCUGAUUCACUCACCCUUGGCUCAGCGUUGUGUCUCAGGCAGCCACCCCGUGGGCACAGGUCACCUUCAGAGGCAUGGACAAGAUGAACCAGGCCCUGCCCUUUGUGAGCUUAAAUCCUCUCUGGGAGUGGGCAGACAACAAACAGCUAAACACAGGCACCAGCAGGGCUGAGUUAGGCAGUGACAGAUAUACAAAGAAAGGAAAUAACUCAGUCUGCUAGGGAUAAGAGAAGACCAGAGCAGAGAUUAGUUUUUGAGAGAAUGCAGAGUCCGAUUUUAGGGCCCAGGAGAUGCUCCUUUGGCAUCUAAAGGAAGAGGCCCUUCUGGCAACUGGUGGUAAUACCAACACUCGUCAUGGGUGAGGGUGAUCAGAAAGUACAGUGAAGGUUUACGUUCUAAAAACGUGUCACAGGAAAAGGUACAUUGCCAUUAAUCCUCAUCAGAAAUACUCCUUGCUUCAAACACACUUAACCUGUUUGUCUUGCCCUUUUCUGGAGCAGUUGAUGGUUUGUACUGACAGAAGUCUCUGUCAGAUAGAGAUAUGACGGCGUGUCCUCAUCCCCGGAUCUGGCACUGUGACUUUUGUGGCCCCUCCCCGAAGUCAGAAGGACCACGAGGCAGAAAUGCUUUGCAUCAGUUCAGGACAUCAAGGCAGCCUCAGCAAGGCAACUAAAGGCACUCCCAAAAGAAGACUUUCAGAGCUGCUUCAAAAGUCGGCAAGAACAAGGACAUAAAUGUGCUUGAAGCCAGAGGGAGGAUUUUAAGGGAGACUCAUCUUGCAUUGCAAUUUUUUAAAAAAAUGUAAACAUUCACUGUAGGUUCUGAUCACACCUUGUAUUGAGUGCUGGUGUGUUCUUGUCACUAACACUUAUCCUUUAAAAUACAUCAGCUUACUCAUUCUCCCAAGAAUCCUGUAGGGCAUUGUUCCCGUUUCUCAGACAAGGAUACAGGUUCCAUAACCUUCCCAGAGUCCUGGGGCAACGAGGUGCAGAGUCAGGCCUCAGACGCAGACCCUGGCUCUCGGGUCUCCCCUCCUCUCCCCUCUGUCCCGCUUCUCUCUGGCGUAGACCAGGUGGGUCCGGCAGUGGGGAGUCCGGGGACAGGGUGUGGCAGGAGGGGUCCUUACCACACAUUCUGCGGUACAGUCAUUGGACUUGACUGAACACCAAUUGUUAGAAAGGACAGCAAGCCGGGCCCGAAUCCUGGGUGUGCCAGGGUUUGAGGUCAGGACGGAAGAGGAAUCCUCAGAGGAUGAGAACCACCUGUAGGCACCUUUGUCCUACCUACCUGCCAAAGACCAGAGACAGGAGAGCAGCUCUGGUUUCUUUGCUUCAGAAACUCAUGCACUUAACCUCUGUGCCAUCCUGUCUCCCCUAAUUACAUUAAAUAAGCAAGUAAAUAGGCUCAUUAAUUUUGAAAUGGACUCCAGAUGUGACGAUCCUGAAGCUGCAAGGCUGUGUCAGUUAUGUAAAAGCGGCUUUGAGGCUGGGGUCAUGCUGUCAGCUCCUCCAUCGGCCACCUCGCCUACCUGUCACACACAAAUAGGAAUUCAGGGAGUGAUAGGAGCCUCCGUUGCAUUUUAAUACUUUUGCUCCUAGGAUGUCUGUUUUUGGGCUAAGACUUGGGCUUCAGCCUCCUCUGAGUCGUGUGACAUCUGUGCUGGGGUUGUUUCAAAAGCCAAGAAGUUGCCUCAUCAGCUGAGAAUUGAAUUCUGUAUACGCACAGGGGAGCCUUAGUCAAAAUAGAAAUAAAAGUCGUGUUUACGUACACGCUGACAUGAGACCCUUCAUUGAGUUACUGAGCCUGCCAGCGUUUAUCCCCCGUUCACACUCCAGUAUGCACUGUGCUAGAAGCUGGCAAUAAAAAUAAGACACAGCCCCUGGUUAGGAGGACCUUUCAAGAGUUGGGUCAGAAAGCAAGAUGCCGCAGAGUAAAUAAAGCGGUGGUGGUGACAUCACAAAGCUCUGUGUCCCCCCGGUGAGUGGAAGCCACCUGUGCCAGUGUUUGUGUGUGUGCGUGAAUCCGCUUUCUGUUUCUAAAACAAAAUACCUAUGACUGGGAACUGUAUAAACACACAGGGUUUAGUUAGCUCAUAGUUUGAAAGGCUGAAGGCCCAAGACCAGGUGGUCUCAUGUACUCAACCACUGAGGUAGGCAGGGAAGUGAGCGGGGAAAUGGUCACAGGCAGAACCGUCCAAGUGUGUGGGUUGGUCUCAGGCUGCAGCAACUCACUCGUAGGAAAAAGUAUCAGUCCUUCCCAAGAGCAGCGCCCUGAAUGAUCUGAUUCUUUUUUUUUUUUUUGGUACCGGGAAUUGAACUCAGGGACCCAUGUUUGCCAGGCAGUUGCCACAUCACUGAGCUGCAUUCUCGGCCCUUGAAUGGUCUGAUUCUUAAAAGUUCUACCACAUCAACACUACCACACCAAGGACCGAGCCUUCCACACAAAGACCUUUCGGGAACAAACCGUAUUCCAACCAUGGCAGCGUGUGGUACCUAAGUGGGUGGGAGACAGGAAGAGCCGUAGCAGACAAAGCAGACACGGAGCCUGGAAAGGUAAGUUGAGCACGACCAGCCUUCCACCACCGACUCUCCUUCCUUCCACCCACCCACCCAUCAUCCACCCGCCGUCCAUCCAUUCCUUUGUUAAUGCUCCCAUUCACUUACCA
Molecule: long non-coding RNA, 4609 nt
Filed under: Fukomys damarensis (Damara mole-rat)
Lineage: Eukaryota; Metazoa; Chordata; Mammalia; Rodentia; Bathyergidae
Description: lncRNA (ENSFDAG00000030542.1)
Source: RNAcentral